This is a non-coding RNA of Ictidomys tridecemlineatus (thirteen-lined ground squirrel), 73 nucleotides long. Lineage: Eukaryota; Metazoa; Chordata; Mammalia; Rodentia; Sciuridae. The record is from Rfam.
GGGGAUAUAGUUCAGUUGGUAGAGUGCUUGCCUAGCACACACAAGACCCUGGGUUCAAUCCCCAGCACCACCA